UGGGGAAUAUUGCACAAUGGGGGAAACCCUGAUGCAGCGACGCUGCGUGAGCGAAGAAGGUUUCCGAAUCGUAAAGCUCCGUCCCAUGGGAAGAUAAUGACGGUACCAUAGGAGGAAGCCCCGGCUAACUACGUGCCAGCAGCCGCGGUAAUACGUAGGGGGCAAGCGUUGUCCGGAAUCACUGGGCGUAAAGGGUUCGCAGGCGGAAAUGCAAGUCAGUUGUGAAAGGCAGAGGCUCAACCUCUGUAAGCAAUUGAAACUGUAUUUCUUGAGAUGUGGGGAGGCAAGUGGAAUUCCUAGUGUAGCGGUGAAAUGCGUAGAUAUUAGGAAGAAUACCGGUGGCGAAGGCGACUUGCUGGACACAAACUGACGCUGAGGAACGAAAGCGUGGGUAGCAAACAGG
Molecule: ribosomal RNA, 403 nt
Filed under: Fusobacteriota bacterium
Lineage: Bacteria; Fusobacteriati; Fusobacteriota
Description: Fusobacteria bacterium partial 16S ribosomal RNA
Rfam family: Bacterial small subunit ribosomal RNA
Source: RNAcentral